This 119-nucleotide ribosomal RNA is filed under the name Esox lucius (northern pike). The record is from RNAcentral. Lineage: Eukaryota; Metazoa; Chordata; Actinopteri; Esociformes; Esocidae.
GCUUACGGCCACACCUCCCUGAGCACGCCCGAUCUCGUCUGAUCUCGGAAGCUAAGCAGGGUCGGGCCCGGUUAGUACUUGGAUGGGAGACUUUCUGGGAAUACCAGGUGCUGUAAGCC